This 359-nucleotide ribosomal RNA is filed under the name uncultured bacterium. RNAcentral describes it as "partial 16S ribosomal RNA". It matches the Rfam family "Bacterial small subunit ribosomal RNA", at positions 355 to 706 of the family's 1533-position model. The record is from RNAcentral.
UGGGGAAUUUUGGACAAUGGGCGAAAGCCUGAUCCAGCAAUGCCGCGUGUGUGAAGAAGGCCUUCGGGUUGUAAAGCACUUUUGUCCGGAAAGAGAUCCUUGGCUCUAAUACAGUCGGGGGAUGACGGUACCGGAAGAAUAAGCACCGGCUAACUACGUGCCAGCAGCCGCGGUAAUACGUAGGGUGCAAGCGUUAAUCGGAAUUACUGGGCGUAAAGCGUGCGCAGGCGGUUUGCUAAGACUGAUGUGAAAUCCCCGGGCUCAACCUGGGAACUGCAUUGGUGACUGGCAGGCUAGAGUAUGGCAGAGGGGGGUAGAAUUCCACGUGUAGCAGUGAAAUGCGUAGAGAUGUGGAGGAA